AGAAAUCUAUGAAAUUUUGACACAAGGUUUAUGACCACAAAAGAACGGUUGGGAUUGAUUUUGGGAGUUUUGGUCUCAACAGUUUAGGAAUUAGGGGCCAAAAAAGGGCCCAAAUAAGCAUUAUUCUUGGUUUUCGCACAAUAACAUUAGUUUAAGUAAAUAGAAAUCAAUGAAAUUUAAACACAAUGUUAAUGACUACAAAAGGAAGGUUGGUAUUGAUUUUGGGAGUUUAGGUCCCAACAGUUUAGGAAUUAGGGGCCAAAAAGGGACCCAAAUAAGCAUUUUUCUUGGUUUUCGCACCAUAACGUUAGUAUAAGUAAAUAGAAAUCUAUGAAAA
Molecule: long non-coding RNA, 337 nt
Filed under: Mytilus galloprovincialis (Mediterranean mussel)
Lineage: Eukaryota; Metazoa; Mollusca; Bivalvia; Mytilida; Mytilidae
Source: RNAcentral